AGGUAUGUCAUUUAUGCUCCAAGCAGCCACAGCAAGUAUUCAGGGGAGUCAUUUCCAGGAGUUUCUAACGCUCUGUUUGAUAUUGAAAGGAAAGUGGACCCAUGCGAGGCUAAGGGAGAAGUGAAGAGAAAGCUUUGUUGCAACCUUCACUGUGCAGGCAGCUUCAGAGGCUUUGAAACAAGAAGCCUAAGAGGAUUCCUUAG
This 203-nucleotide long non-coding RNA is filed under the name Homo sapiens (human). RNAcentral's name for it is "non-protein coding lnc-TRIM64-2:2". Lineage: Eukaryota; Metazoa; Chordata; Mammalia; Primates; Hominidae. The record is from RNAcentral.